AACGAACGCUGGCGGCAGGCCUAACACAUGCAAGUCGAGCGCUCACCUUCGGGUGGGAGCAGCGCACGGGUGAGUAACACGUGGGAACCUACCUUGAAGUACGGAAUAACUGAGGGAAACUUCAGCUAAUACCGUAUACGCCCUACGGGGGAAAGAUUUAUCGCUUCAAGACGGGCCCGCGUUGGAUUAGCUAGUUGGUGAGGUAAUGGCUCACCAAGGCAACGAUCCAUAGCUGAUUUGAGAGAAUGAUCAGCCACACUGGGACUGAGACACGGCCCAGACUCCUACGGGAGGCAGCAGUGGGGAAUAUUGGACAAUGGGCGCAAGCCUGAUCCAGCCAUGCCGCGUGAGUGAUGAAGGCCUUCGGGUUGUAAGGCUCUUUCAGAUGGGACGAUGAUGACGGUACCAUCAGAAGAAGCCCCGGCUAACUUCGUGCCAGCAGCCGCAGUAA
RNAcentral lists this ribosomal RNA (451 nucleotides) under uncultured bacterium. RNAcentral describes it as "partial 16S ribosomal RNA". It matches the Rfam family "Bacterial small subunit ribosomal RNA", at positions 29 to 523 of the family's 1533-position model. The record is from RNAcentral.